CCUACGGGGGGCAGCAGGCGCGAAAACUUUACAAUGCUGGCAACAGCGAUAAGGGAACCUCGAGUGCCAGGUUACAAAUCUGGCUGUCGAGAUGCCUAAAAAGCAUUUCAUAGCAAGGGCCGGGCAAGACCGGUGCCAGCCGCCGCGGUAACACCGGCGGCUCGAGUGGUAACCGUUAUUAUUGGGUCUAAAGGGUCUGUAGCCGGCCGGAUAAGUCUCUUGAGAAAUCUGGCAGCUUAACUGUCAGGCUUUCAGGAGAUACUGUCUGGCUCGAGGCCGGGAGAGGUGAGAGGUACUUCAGGGGUAGGGGUGAAAUCUUGUAAUCCUUGAAGGACCACCAGUGGCGAAGGCGUCUCACCAGAACGGACCUGACGGCAAGGGACGAAAGCUAGGGGCACGAACCGGAUUAGAUACCCGAGUAGUC
RNAcentral lists this ribosomal RNA (424 nucleotides) under uncultured Methanosaeta sp. Its description in RNAcentral is "bacterial SSU rRNA". It matches the Rfam family "Archaeal small subunit ribosomal RNA", at positions 322 to 746 of the family's 1478-position model. The record is from RNAcentral. Lineage: Archaea; Methanobacteriati; Methanobacteriota; Methanomicrobia; Methanotrichales; Methanotrichaceae.